AUGUUCACAAGAAUAAAUUACAUAAUUUUGCUAGACUUUACAUUAUUACUAGCAUUUGCAAAGUUUUACUUUUCAAAAACUGGAAGUAAGAUCUUUACAGGAUUUAUUAAGCACUGGGAUGAUUUGGACUCACUUGAUACAUAUAGUUGGGGUCUUGUUGUAUAUAACUUUGUGGUUUCUAGUUUAUGUGAGUCUUUAGUUGUGUUGAAAAAAGGAAAAAACAAGUCACAAAGACAUUUAAAUGGUGUGUUGUCGUAUAACAGGUAUAUAGAUUAUAUAACUGUUUAG
Vicia faba (fava bean) is the source of this 288-nucleotide non-coding RNA. The record is from the annotation of a GenBank genome assembly. Lineage: Eukaryota; Viridiplantae; Streptophyta; Magnoliopsida; Fabales; Fabaceae.